This 229-nucleotide ribosomal RNA is filed under the name uncultured bacterium. Its description in RNAcentral is "partial 16S ribosomal RNA". It matches the Rfam family "Bacterial small subunit ribosomal RNA", at positions 568 to 796 of the family's 1533-position model. The record is from RNAcentral.
CGUGUAGGCGGUUAGUUAAGUCGAAUGUGAAAGCCCUGGGCUUAACCCAGGAAGUGCAUUCGAUACUGGCUAACUAGAGUGCAGGAGAGGAUAGCGGAAUUCCCGGUGUAGAGGUGAAAUUCGUAGAUAUCGGGAGGAACACCAGUGGCGAAGGCGGCUAUCUGGACUGAUACUGACGCUGAGACGCGAAAGCGUGGGGAGCAAACAGGAUUAGAUACCCUGGUAGUCC